GCAAGUCGAGCGGAAACGAUGGGAGCUUGCUCCCAGGCGUCGAGCGGCGGACGGGUGAGUAACGCGUAGGAAUCUACCCAGUAGCGGGGGAUAGCCCGGAGAAAUCCGGAUUAAUACCGCAUACGCCCUAAGGGGGAAAGGCCGGGAUCUAUUUAUAGACCGGUCACUAUUGGAUGAGCCUGCGUAAGAUUAGCUAGUUGGUGAGGUAAUGGCUCACCAAGGCGACGAUCAAUAGCUGGUCUGAGAGGAUGAUC
Molecule: ribosomal RNA, 254 nt
Filed under: uncultured bacterium
Lineage: Bacteria
Description: partial 16S ribosomal RNA
Rfam family: Bacterial small subunit ribosomal RNA
Source: RNAcentral